ACCUUCGGGCCUCUUGCCAUCGGAUGUGCCCAGAUGGGAUUAGCUAGUAGGUGGGGUAAAGGCUCACCUAGGCGACGAUCCCUAGCUGGUCUGAGAGGAUGACCAGCCACACUGGAACUGAGACACGGUCCAGACUCCUACGGGAGGCAGCAGUGGGGAAUAUUGCACAAUGGGCGCAAGCCUGAUGCAGCCAUGCCGCGUGUAUGAAGAAGGCCUUCGGGUUGUAAAGUACUUUCAGCGGGGAGGAAGGGAGUAAAGUUAAUACCUUUGCUCAUUGACGUUACCCGCAGAAGAAGCACCGGCUAACUCCGUGCCAGCAGCCGCGGUAAUACGGAGGGUGCAAGCGUUAAUCGGAAUUACUGGGCGUAAAGCGCACGCAGGCGGUUUGUUAAGUCAGAUGUGAAAUCCCCGGGCUCAACCUGGGAACUGCAUCUGAUACUGGCAAGCUUGAGUCUCGUAGAGG
RNAcentral lists this ribosomal RNA (463 nucleotides) under Escherichia coli. RNAcentral describes it as "bacterial SSU rRNA". It matches the Rfam family "Bacterial small subunit ribosomal RNA", at positions 199 to 657 of the family's 1533-position model. Lineage: Bacteria; Pseudomonadati; Pseudomonadota; Gammaproteobacteria; Enterobacterales; Enterobacteriaceae. The record is from RNAcentral.